ACGGGAGGCAGCAGUAGGGAAUCUUCCACAAUGGACGAAAGUCUGAUGGAGCAACGCCGCGUGAGUGAAGAAGGUUUUCGGAUCGUAAAACUCUGUUGUUGGAGAAGAAUGUAUCUGAUAGUAACUGAUCAGGUAGUGACGGUAUCCAACCAGAAAGCCACGGCUAACUACGUGCCAGCAGCCACGGUAAUACGUAGGUGGCAAGCGUUGUCCGGAUUUAUUGGGCGUAAAGCGAGCGCAGGCGGUUUCUUAAGUCUGAUGUGAAAGCCUUCGGCUCAACCGAAGAAGUGCAUCGGAAACUGGGAAACUUGAGUGCAGAAGAGGACAGUGGAACUCCAUGUGUAGCGGUGAAAUGCGUAGAUAUAUGGAAGAACACCAGUGGCGAAGGCGGCUGUCUGGUCUGUAACUGACGCUGAGGCUCGAAAGCAUGGGUAGCAAACAGAAUUAGAUACCCUGGUA
This 459-nucleotide ribosomal RNA is filed under the name uncultured Lactobacillaceae bacterium. Its description in RNAcentral is "bacterial SSU rRNA". It matches the Rfam family "Bacterial small subunit ribosomal RNA", at positions 341 to 792 of the family's 1533-position model. The record is from RNAcentral. Lineage: Bacteria; Bacillati; Bacillota; Bacilli; Lactobacillales; Lactobacillaceae.